This 562-nucleotide long non-coding RNA is filed under the name Olea europaea subsp. europaea. Lineage: Eukaryota; Viridiplantae; Streptophyta; Magnoliopsida; Lamiales; Oleaceae. The record is from RNAcentral.
AUAAGCUAUUCUGAAAAAAUAUAAUCAAAAAAUGAUAGCAUGGGAGGAUAUAUACAAAAUAGUGGUGGCAAUGGUGCCAUUUUACGCAGCAUUGGCGUUAGGCUACGGCUCCAUAAGGUGGUGGCAUAUGUUUAAACCAGACCAUUUUGAUGCUAUAAAUCGCUUCAAUUGCUAUUUCAUAAUGCCAUUUUUCACCUUCGAGUUCACAGCUCAUGUAAAUCCUUAUAAGAUGAAUUAUCUCUUCCUUGCCGCGGAUGUUAUAGCUAAAGUCGUCGUUGGCAUCGUUUUAGCUUUGUGGGCUAAUUUGAGUAGCAAAGGGAAGUAUGAUUGGUCUGUAACAUGCUUCUCUUUAUCAAGUCUCAAUAACACUCUUGUUGUAGGAGUUCCACUAUUGAAAGCCAUGUAUGAUCAAAUGGGAGCUGAUCUUGUUAUACAGUCAUCAGUUAUACAGUCUCUCUUUUGGUUCCCUGCUCUUUUAUUCAUGUUGGAAUUCAGACGUACGAGGUGUGAAACAUCAGCAAUCUCAACAGCCCCGGUCUUAGAUGACCGGCAAGUGAAUUUG